CCUACGGGAGGCAGCAGUGGGGAAUAUUGGGCAAUGGGCGCAAGCCUGACCCAGCAACGCCGCGUGAAGGAAGAAGGCUUUCGGGUUGUAAACUUCUUUUCUCAGGGACGAAGCAAGUGACGGUACCUGAGGAAUAAGCCACGGCUAACUACGUGCCAGCAGCCGCGGUAAUACGUAGGUGGCAAGCGUUAUCCGGAUUUACUGGGUGUAAAGGGCGUGUAGGCGGGACUGCAAGUCAGAUGUGAAAACCACGGGCUCAACCCGUGGCCUGCAUUUGAAACUGUAGUUACUGAGUACUGGAGAGGCAGACGGAAUUCCUAGGGUAGCGGGGAAAUGCGGAGAUAUUAGGAGGAACACCAGGGGCGAAGGCGGUCUGCUGGACAGCAACUGACGCUGAGGCGCGAAAGCGUGGGGAGCAAACAGGAUUAGAUACCCUGGUAGUC
Molecule: ribosomal RNA, 443 nt
Filed under: uncultured bacterium
Lineage: Bacteria
Description: partial 16S ribosomal RNA
Rfam family: Bacterial small subunit ribosomal RNA
Source: RNAcentral